Long non-coding RNA from Pogoniulus pusillus (Red-fronted tinkerbird), 833 nucleotides. RefSeq lists it as uncharacterized. The transcript is spliced from 3 exons. The record is from RefSeq and is a predicted model, not a curated record. Lineage: Eukaryota; Metazoa; Chordata; Aves; Piciformes; Lybiidae.
ACUCAGUGUUGUCCUUUAAGCAGGUUUCUGCUACUAUUUAAGAUGCCAUUAUUCAGGCAACUUUGAGUGGGAUCAAAGUUUUUCUGCUUCUGCUGUGUCUGCAGAUGUUAAAUUUGUAAGCAUGACUCCGGGUUUGAUGGAGAAGUAUCAGGAACUCAUCAAGUUCUGCUUGAAGGUGCCUGAGAGGUGACUGCAGUCUCUUUUGAGUUCUCCUUAAUAGUUUGGUUGAUUUUUGCAUUAAAUCCUCUAGAAGUUUCCACUUCAGUUGCCCUGAAACCUGAUUCCCUCUCUGCUGUCUGUGUUCUCACACAUUUACCUGGCUGGUGUUCAGCUCUCUACAAAGAAAAGAAGCUGCUAUUUACAGCACAGGUGUCACUAGGAGGAAGAGAGCAAAAGCAAGAACAACAAUAGAAACAAAGACAACAGACAGAAAACAGGGAGAGGAGUAUGAAAGAAGGUAAAAAAACAGUGUGCAGAACAAGACACUAAAUAAGGAUUCAUUUUCUUCUGAAUACUGGAAUCCAAGCAGAAGGCAAACCUCACAUUCAUCACUUUGUGUAUUGCUAGCUUUUGAAAUACACAGGAAUAUAUUUCCUAUAUAUAUAAGAAUGUCCACUCAGAGUACUCUGGAAGAUUUCUUACCACUUCUCUACUUUAGACUACCUUUGAAAUACAAUGCCAGGUUUCUGUAGGGAAGUGGUGCAUUCAUAUUUAUUUUUUAAUUUAUUUUAAAGGCAUCAUACAUCUUAUUGAGUUUUUUUUUCCCCUCAAAUUCUCCAUUUCAUCUACAUCUAUGAUAGGUGUGAGAACAGCAUUAUAUACAAGUAUGUUCA